GCUUAGAAGCAGCCAUCAUUUAAAGAAAGCGUAAUAGCUCACUAGUCGAGUCGGCCUGCGCGGAAGAUGUAACGGGGCUAAAAUUAGUCACCGAAGCUGCGGCAUCAAUGGAAACAUUGUUGGGUAGGGGAGCGUUCUGUAAGCGGACGAAGGUGAAUCGAGAGGUUUGCUGGACGUAUCAGAAGUGCGAAUGCUGACAUAAGUAACGAUAAAACGAGUGAAAAACUCGUUCGCCGGAAGACCAAGGGUUCCUGUCCAACGUUAAUCGGGGCAGGGUGAGUCGGCCCCUAAGGCGAGGCUGAAAAGCGUAGUCGAUGGACAACAGGUUAAUAUUCCUGUACUUUCUUUAAUUGUGAUGGAGUGACGGAGAAGGAUAAGCAUACCUAUUAUUGGAUUUAGGGGUAAGUAGUUACUGGUGAUUGUAGGCAAAUCCGCAAUCUAUAACUGGGAGCUAUGAUGCAUAGGACUUUUGUCUGAAUUUGCCAAUUCCAUGCUUCCUAGAAAAGUUUCUAAACUUAAUUUUAUUGAAACCUGUACCAAGAACGGACACACGUCCCCAAGAUGAGUAUUCUAAGGCGAGCGAGAAAACUAGUGUUAAGGAACUCUGCAAAAUGACCCCGUAAGUUCGCAAGAAGGGGCGCCUAUGGUAACACAUAGGCCA
Molecule: ribosomal RNA, 661 nt
Filed under: Xanthomonas citri pv. citri
Lineage: Bacteria; Pseudomonadati; Pseudomonadota; Gammaproteobacteria; Lysobacterales; Lysobacteraceae
Description: partial 23S ribosomal RNA
Rfam family: Bacterial large subunit ribosomal RNA
Source: RNAcentral